Molecule: RNA transcript, 1442 nt
Organism: Triticum aestivum (bread wheat)
Lineage: Eukaryota; Viridiplantae; Streptophyta; Magnoliopsida; Poales; Poaceae
Exons: 5
Source: RefSeq, a predicted model, not a curated record
UCUCCAUCUGCCCGUUUUCCUCGACCCGGCCGAGCCGCUGCGCACGGUAGGUUUUUGUCCUUUUGAAUUUGGAGCGGGAUGUCGUUCCCCUUUCUCAUUUGGAUAAGGCGGAGGGAGAGAGAGAUCGAGCGGCGGAGGAGGGCAAGGCGAUUCCUCCUGUUCAUGGCGAUUUGGAGCUCAUUCGCCGCAGGAUUCUGACUUCAUCCUCUUCCUCUCUCCGCUAAUCUGGUUUAAAUGGGUAAGCUGCGGAAAGCUUCUCAUCGGGAUGUUCCUUUAGUAUCAUCUUUAGAGAGUGGAGAUUCUGGGGGUGAACCAUUUGUGCCUAAUGAUUUUGCAGAAGAUGGUUGUUACCCUGUGUCUAUGAAAUUAUCUGAUGACGAAGGAGGGCUUGACAAAGCUCUUCUGAAGUUCUAUCUUAAUCAAUAUGUUUUAUUUUAUCUAGGACUUUUCAUUCUUGUUUCAUUUUUGACAUUUUUUCUUUUCUCUUGUUCGAUAGUUGUGUUUUCCUUAUUUUUUCAGAAAGUAAAAUGCUUGAAGAGGAAAUUAUCAUCUGCUUCAAGGAGGAAUGUGGUUAGUUCCUAUUUACUCUGAUUUCAGUAGUUUUUUACUCGAGGCAGAAACGCUCUAGUGAUUACCCUUCCUGUGCUACUUUCACUAGAUAUUAUGGGAAGUUCUUCUCUGGUCUUGUUGAUGGACUGUGUUCUAGGUAUCAUGGUGUUGUCCAGAGAUAUGGCAUGGGAUGUCUUUUAGAGUUUGUUAGGACCGAGGUUCCCCUCGGGUUGAUGAAGUGGCUCGCCAGUAGGUUUGAUGUCCCUUCAUCUGAAUUCCAGCUCAAAAGGAAAUUUAUCCCAAUGACCAAGUAUGAUAUUCAUGACAUCCUCGACCUUCCAGUAGAUGGUGAGCCACUUGUGUGUGAUCCUAAAUCCGGCCGUGAUUUUAUCCUCUCUCUCACUUUGACUUGACCAGUAUUCCUCCCGUGUCCUUCUUUGCAAACAAGCUAAAGUCAACAGAAGUCGAGUUGCCUGAUGAAGAUGUCUUUAUUUGUUUCAUGAUUGUUGCUUUUUCAUCAUUCCUUUGUCCCAACUCUAGCCUCGGUCCUAGCCCAAAGUACCUACAUAUCUUCAGGGAUUGUCCUUUCGUGCGUAACUAUGAUCUGUCGAGAUUUGUUUAUGAGUGGCUGUUGAGUUGCAUAAAAAAGUUCAAGGAUUCCACUAAAGUUGCUUCCAAAAGAUCAGUGACAUUUGGCGGUUGUCACUAUGCUUUUGCUGUUUGUUACCUUGACCAACUUAAUUUUGGUCUUCACUCUGUCCCUGAUGUCAAGCCUCAGAUCCUAGUAUGAAAAGGUAACAAAGUUAAGCAAUUUUCAGAGCUUGAUAGAAACAAUAGCCGCUCUUUUGGUAAGAGGCCUCUAAAGCAGUUGUGUCCUUCAUUUCAUUUGCAGG